CCUACGGGGGGCAGCAGUGGGGAAUAUUGGGCAAUGGGCGCAAGCCUGACCCAGCAACGCCGCGUGAAGGAUGAAGGUUUUCGGAUUGUAAACUUCUGUCGCGAGGGACGAAGAAUGACGGUACCUCGUAAGAAAGCCCCGGCUAACUACGUGCCAGCAGCCGCGGUAAUACGUAGGGGGCAAGCGUUGUCCGGAAUGACUGGGCGUAAAGGGAGUGUAGGCGGCCUUGCAAGUUAGAUGUGAAAUCCUACGGCUUAACCGUAGAACUGCAUCUAAAACUGUGAGGCUGGAGUGCAGGAGAGGUGAGUGGAAUUCCUAGUGUAGCGGUGGAAUGCGUAGAUAUUAGGAGGAACACCAGAGGCGAAGGCGACUCACUGGACUGUAACUGACGCUGAGGCUCGAAAGCGUGGGGAGCAAACAGGAUUAGAUACCCGAGUA
This 438-nucleotide ribosomal RNA is filed under the name uncultured bacterium. RNAcentral describes it as "bacterial SSU rRNA". It matches the Rfam family "Bacterial small subunit ribosomal RNA", at positions 338 to 792 of the family's 1533-position model. The record is from RNAcentral.